Molecule: ribosomal RNA, 252 nt
Filed under: uncultured bacterium
Lineage: Bacteria
Also listed under: 1 other name
Description: partial 16S ribosomal RNA
Rfam family: Bacterial small subunit ribosomal RNA
Source: RNAcentral
UACGUAGGGGACGAGCGUUGUCCGGAAUUACUGGGCGUAAAGGGCGCGCAGGCUGCGCGUCGAGUCGGCUGUGAAAGAUCCGGGCUCAACCCGGUGAAGCGGUCGAGACCGACGUGCUGGAGUGCUGCAGAGGCAAGUGGAAUUCCCGGUGUAGCGGUGAAAUGCGUAGAUAUCGGGAAGAACACCGGUGGCGAAGGCGACUUGCCGGGCAGCAACUGACGCUGAGGCGCGAAAGCCAGGGGAGCGAACGGG